GAUCCUGGCUCAGGACGAACGCUGGCGGCGUGCCUAAUACAUGCAAGUCGAACGAGCUCUCCCAAAUUGAUUUUAUGCUUGCAUAAAUGAUUUUUGGAUUCGGAGCGAGUGGCGAACUGGUGAGUAACACGUGGGUAACCUGCCCCGAAGCGGGGGAUAACAUUUGGAAACAAGUGCUAAUACCGCAUAAUUAGUUGGAACCGCAUGGUUCCAACUUGAAAGAUGGCUCUGCUAUCACUUUGGGAUGGACCCGCGCCGUAUUAGUUAGUUGGUGAGAUAAAAGCCCACCAAGACGAUGAUACGUAGCCGACCUGAGAGGGUAAUCGGCCACAUUGGGACUGAGACACGGCCCAGACUCCUACGGGAGGCAGCAGUAGGGAAUCUUCCACAAUGGACGAAAGUCUGAUGGAGCAACGCCGCGUGAGUGAUGAAGGUUUUCGGAUCGUAAAACUCUGUUGUUAAAGAAGAACAAGUGUUAGAGUAACUGUUAACACUUGACGGUAUAACCAGAAAGCCACG
This 519-nucleotide ribosomal RNA is filed under the name Apilactobacillus kunkeei. RNAcentral describes it as "bacterial SSU rRNA". It matches the Rfam family "Bacterial small subunit ribosomal RNA", at positions 15 to 495 of the family's 1533-position model. The record is from RNAcentral. Lineage: Bacteria; Bacillati; Bacillota; Bacilli; Lactobacillales; Lactobacillaceae.